GGCACUGUGGCACAGUCGGGUGUGGCCGGCUCUGGUUUUCUGGUGGGUCUGGGGUUUGAGUCCUCCUUUGGUGCCU
RNAcentral lists this transfer RNA (76 nucleotides) under Scleropages formosus (Asian bonytongue). RNAcentral describes it as "tRNA-Gln". The record is from RNAcentral. Lineage: Eukaryota; Metazoa; Chordata; Actinopteri; Osteoglossiformes; Osteoglossidae.